GCUUGUCUCAAAGAUUAAGCCAUGCAUGUCUAAGUGUAAAUAAGUCUAUACUGUGAAACUGCGAAUGGCUCAUUAAAUCAGUUAUCGUUUAUUUGAUGAUCUCUUACUACUUGGAUAACCGUAGUAAUUCUAGAGCUAAUACAUGCACAAAAUCCCGACUUACGAAGGGAUGUAUUUAUUAGAUACAAACCAACAUCGUGGUGAUUCAUAAUAACUUGACGAAUCGUAUUGCUUUUUAAGCUGACGAUGAUUCAUUCAAAUUUCUGCCCUAUCAACUGUGAUGGUAAGGUCUUGGCUUACCAUGGUGACAACGGGUGACGGGGAAUUAGGGUUCGAUUCCGGAGAGGGAGCCUGAGAAACGGCUACCACUUCUAAGGAAGGCAGCAGG
This 388-nucleotide ribosomal RNA is filed under the name uncultured Rhizophydiales. RNAcentral describes it as "partial small subunit ribosomal RNA". It matches the Rfam family "Eukaryotic small subunit ribosomal RNA", at positions 30 to 432 of the family's 1831-position model. Lineage: Eukaryota; Fungi; Chytridiomycota; Chytridiomycetes; Rhizophydiales. The record is from RNAcentral.